Mus caroli (Ryukyu mouse) is the source of this 402-nucleotide non-coding RNA. The record is from the annotation of a RefSeq genome assembly. Lineage: Eukaryota; Metazoa; Chordata; Mammalia; Rodentia; Muridae.
AUGAGAGUGCUGGGAUUUUUGUGCCUGGUGACAGUCCUUCCUGGUAGCCUGUCUCAGAUGCAGCUUCAGGAGUCAGGACCUGGCCUGGUGAAACCCUCACAGUCACUCUUCCUCACCUGCUCUAUCACUGGUUUCCCCAUCACCAGUGGUUACUACUGGAUCUGGAUCCGUCAGUCACCUGGGAAAACCCUAGAAUGGAUGGGGUACAUCACUCAUAGUGGGGAAACUUUCUACAACCCAUCCCUCCAGAGCCCCAUCUCCAUUACUAGAGAAACAUCCAAGAACCAGUUCUUCCUGCAAUUGAACUCUGUGACCACAGAGGACACAGCCAUGUAUUACUGUGCAGGAGACAGACACAAUGAGAAGAUUACAAUGUCAACCCACACACAAACCUCACUGUAG